Molecule: long non-coding RNA, 1062 nt
Filed under: Sarcophilus harrisii (Tasmanian devil)
Lineage: Eukaryota; Metazoa; Chordata; Mammalia; Dasyuromorphia; Dasyuridae
Description: lncRNA (ENSSHAG00000025632.1)
Source: RNAcentral
AGUAUGGUUAGCACCGUCCCCUGACAUCUCAAACCUGUAACAUUCUGAGAUCUCACUUGUCUGUGACACAUUACCAUUUGUCAAAGAGCCUUAAGUUCCUCCUCUAAAGAAUUAGAUUUAAUUCAUUUCAAUAAAUGUUCUCCAUUGUAGCCUGGCACAGUAGAUGAAGGAAGGAAGGGAAAGGGAGGAAAUACACAUUUAUUAAGCACCUAUAUGCCAGACACUGUUCUAAGAACUUUAUAUUUGCUGCUCAUGAUCACUUUGGGAGGUAGAUAAUUUUGUUAUCCUCAUUUUACAGAUGAGGAAGUUGAGGCAGACAGCUGCUAAGUGACUUGCUCAGGGUCACACAGCUAGUACUCCUCUGAAGUUGGAUUUGAACUCAGGGCUUCCUGACUUCAAGCCAAGUGCCCUAGCUGCCUCACUUAGAAUCAGGCAUAGGUGGUUUAAGUUCUGUUCCAAUGUAUGCUAGCUAUGUGAAAAAUCCUUUUGAUUAUAAGUUUCUUCAGGGAAAGAACUGUUUUUCUUUUUAUUAAUUGUAUCCCAGCACUAUAAAUGUUUAUUAGAUUGGGUUGAUAUAGUUAAAUUAUUUACUCUCUUGAUGUCUACCAUAACUCUGUAAGGUUUCUAUAAAUUAGAGAAGAUAGUAAAUUUUAAUUAAUAGAGGGAAUCCUAUACUGGAAGUUCUCAGACUCUGAAGAAAAAAAAAAGAAACCCAUUCCCCCAAAUGAUAUAUUAAACACUUGCUAUCUUAAAACAUUAUGAUAGAUUCUGGGGACACAAAUUUAAAUAAGACACAGUACCUGCCCUCAAGGAGCUUCUAAUCUAAUAAAAAAAAUUUUUGAUUUCAGUCUUUUCAUAAGAAAGAAUACAAUAAAUGGAAAGAUGACAUCCAAGCAAAGUUCUAGGGUUAGUUCCUGUAGAAUAGGUGGAACCUAUAAGGAUGAAGAAGAAAAAAAGCUGAUCAGAGGAAAACUUUGACAAAAAGGGACUGUGACAAUAAUCAGGAAAAAUGAACCGGUAGUGAUCCUCAUGGUACUCAGGAGUUUGAAACAUGGAAACUUU